This 458-nucleotide ribosomal RNA is filed under the name uncultured bacterium. Its description in RNAcentral is "bacterial SSU rRNA". It matches the Rfam family "Bacterial small subunit ribosomal RNA", at positions 340 to 786 of the family's 1533-position model. The record is from RNAcentral.
UACGGGAGGCAGCAGUGGGGAAUAUUGCACAAUGGGCGAAAGCCUGAUGCAGCUAUGCCGCGUGUAUGAAGAAGGCCUUAGGGUUGUAAAGUACUUUCAUCGGGGAGGAAAAAACAAAACUAAUAAUUUUAUUUCUUGACGUUACCCGAAAAAGAAGCACCGGCUAACUCCGUGCCAGCAGCCGCGGUAAUACGGAGGGUGCUAGCGUUAAUCAGAAUUACUGGGCGUAAAGAGCACGUAGGUGGUUUUUUUAAGUCAGAUGUGAAAUCCCUGGGCUUAACCUAGGAACUGCAUUUUGAAGCUGAAAUACUAGAGUAUCGUAGAGGGAGGUAGAAUUCUAGGUGUAGCGGUGAAAUGCGUAGAUAUCUGGAGGAAUACCUGUGGCGAAAGCGGCCUCCUAAACGAAUACUGACACUGAGGGUGCGAAAGCGUGGGGAGACAAACAGGGAUUAGAUACC